GCUUGCAGUCAUCCCGCCCUAAAUGCAUCUGAUCUGGUGAGAUCUCAGGAGCUAAGGAAGGUCAGGACUGAUUAGUUUGUGAAUGGGAGACCUCAUGGGAAUACUGGGGGCUGGAGGCU
Molecule: ribosomal RNA, 119 nt
Organism: Otolemur garnettii (small-eared galago)
Lineage: Eukaryota; Metazoa; Chordata; Mammalia; Primates; Galagidae
Source: Ensembl